CUACGGGAGGCAGCAGGGGGGAAUUUUGGACAAUGGGCGAAAGCCUGAUCCAGCCAUGCCGCGUGAGUGAAGAAGGCCUUCGGGUUGUAAAGCUCUUUUAGUCGGAAAGAAAGAGU
This 116-nucleotide ribosomal RNA is filed under the name uncultured Nitrosomonadales bacterium. RNAcentral's name for it is "partial 16S ribosomal RNA". It matches the Rfam family "Bacterial small subunit ribosomal RNA", at positions 339 to 454 of the family's 1533-position model. Lineage: Bacteria; Pseudomonadati; Pseudomonadota; Betaproteobacteria; Nitrosomonadales. The record is from RNAcentral.